This 106-nucleotide small nuclear RNA is filed under the name Propithecus coquereli (Coquerel's sifaka). The record is from RNAcentral. Lineage: Eukaryota; Metazoa; Chordata; Mammalia; Primates; Indriidae.
GCCUCACCUAUGCAACAUAUAUAAUCAAAUUGGAAUCAUUCAGAGAAGAUUAGCAAUGUCUAUUAGCAAAAAUGACAGGCAAAUGGGCAAAGUGUUCCAUAUAUUU